This 1588-nucleotide small RNA is filed under the name Pongo abelii (Sumatran orangutan). RNAcentral's name for it is "3prime overlapping ncRNA". Lineage: Eukaryota; Metazoa; Chordata; Mammalia; Primates; Hominidae. The record is from RNAcentral.
AUAAAAUGGGUACAUUAUGGGCAGUGUAAUACAAGCUUUCUUUUCAUUGCCUAGUACUUUACCAGCAGACCACAGUUUUGCUCUGGCUAGACCAACCCUCAGAACAAAAUCAUCAUUCCUUGUAUUUAUAUUUGUAUCUGAGAUAGUAAACAAGAUGGCUGGCCAGGUCAACAUGGCACCUUAACUUACUUUUUUAAUAGGUAAAACUUCUUCAAAAGUAGCUUGCUUUGUAUAAGAACUAGGCUAUCAGUAGAGAUAUAGCUAUCCUUGGAGCUUAUGUUUCAGACAAGAAUUAUUUACUAAAAUAAAUAAUAAACAAGAUAAUGCAUUAUAGAAUUUGGGCAUUUCUCCUUUCUCAAGUGUAUGCAUCACGGUAAAUAUAAACUAACCACAAGAUAGGUAGAUUGAUUGAUUUCAUUUUAAUCUACUUGUGUAAUUCAGUACCUCCAUAAUUGUUCUAAUCUUCUUCCCACUGUUUACAAAUUACCAGUUAAUUAACUCGUGAAAGAAAAAUUCACAUAUCAGAAUAAAAAUAAAUGUAUACUCACUUUAUAAAAAUCACCACUGCUGUCUUUCCUUAAUACUAGCAGUGGAAAUGUAAGUGGCUUACUCUACAAAUUUUGGUGCUGGCAAAUACAUAGGCAAACUGUUGGGAGCUGCUGUAGUUAUAUUCCUCCCUUCUUAUUCCCUUUUUCUCUUCCUCACUUUAUUGCAUAACAUAUUCCUGUACCCAAAGCAUUCUACCACAGUUCUAUUUGACUCCCACCUGUAAUACCUCCUUUAAACAAUUCCAUGUUUAACCAUAUGACCUUGCUUGCUUACUCAUAUUCUCCCUCCCCCUCCCCUUCCUUUCUCUCUCUUCCAGAAGUCAUUUGCCUGGUUUGAAAUAUUUUGUAGGGAUUGCUUAUUAUUAUUUUAGCUGAUGAACCUCAGGACAACAUAUACACACACUUACACACAUACAUACACGCACACAAAAUCUCAGCUGUUGAAGAGUGGGCUUGGAAUCAGACUUCUGUGUCCAGUAAAAAACUGUCCUGCACUGAAGUCAUUGUGACUUGAGUAGUUACAGACUGAUUCCAGUGAACUUGAUCUAAUUUCUUUUGAUCUAAUGAAUGUAUCUGCUUACCUUGUUUCCUUUUAAUUGAUAAGCUCCAAGUAGUUGCUAAUUUUUUGACAACUUUGAGUUUAAUUCACUUCUUUUACUUAGUGUUUUAAGUAUACCACCAAUAAUUUCAUUAAUCUGUUCUCAAGUGGUUUAGCUACCAUUCUGCCAUUUUAAAUUUUUAUUUAAUUUUAUUUGCUUGAGCACACUGAUCAACCACUGAACUGCCUUCUUCCAUUGUCCUGCAGUGAUAUAAGGGUUACAUUUUUGUGUAUAUGGCUUUCAUAGUUGGGAUUUCAGAGCACUGAUACCAGAUAUUUUCAGUUUGUUCUCUGGGGGAAUUUCAUUUGCAUCUAUGUUUUUAGCUAUCUGUGAUAACUUGUUAAAUAUUAAAAAGAUAUUUUGCUUCUAUUGGAACAUUUGUAUACUCGCAACUAUAUUUCUGUAAACAGCUGCAGUCAAAAAUAAAACACUGAAAGUUUU